This is a non-coding RNA of Pristionchus pacificus, 61 nucleotides long. Lineage: Eukaryota; Metazoa; Nematoda; Chromadorea; Rhabditida; Neodiplogasteridae. The record is from Rfam.
UCUUCAAUUCACGAGCUCUCUCACCGGUCAGAGAGGCGAGAGAGUGUGUGAAAUGAAGAGA